RNAcentral lists this ribosomal RNA (254 nucleotides) under uncultured bacterium. Its description in RNAcentral is "partial 16S ribosomal RNA". It matches the Rfam family "Bacterial small subunit ribosomal RNA", at positions 524 to 776 of the family's 1533-position model. The record is from RNAcentral.
UACGGGGGGAGCAAGCGUUGUUCGGAUUUACUGGGCGUAAAGGGCGCGUAGGCGGCGCGACAAGCCACUUGUGAAAUCUCCGGGCCUUAACUCGGAACGGUCAAGUGAUACUGUCGUGCUAGAGUACAGAAGGGGCAACUGGAAUUCUCGGUGUAGCGGUGAAAUGCGUAGAUAUCGAGAGGAACACCUGCGGCGAAGGCGGGUUGCUGGGCUGAUACUGACGCUGAGGCGCGAAAGCUAGGGGAGCGAACGGG